Molecule: ribosomal RNA, 253 nt
Filed under: uncultured bacterium
Lineage: Bacteria
Description: partial 16S ribosomal RNA
Rfam family: Bacterial small subunit ribosomal RNA
Source: RNAcentral
UACGAAGGGUGCGAGCGUUAUUCGGAUUUAUUGGGCGUAAAGGGUGCGCAGGCGGAAUGUUAAGUCAAUUGUUAAAUCCAUCAGCUUAACUGGUGGGCUGCGGUAGAUACUGGCAUUCUAGAGAUUGGGAGAGAGGAGUGGAAUUCUCGGAGUAGCGGUAAAAUGCGUAGAUCUCGAGAGGAACACCGAUGGCGAAGGCAGCUUCUUGGCCCAUUUCUGACGCUCAUGCACGAAAGCGUGGGGAGCAAACAGG